RNAcentral lists this long non-coding RNA (461 nucleotides) under Homo sapiens (human). RNAcentral's name for it is "HSALNT0179478". Lineage: Eukaryota; Metazoa; Chordata; Mammalia; Primates; Hominidae. The record is from RNAcentral.
CAACAGUGCAUUUAAAUUUUCCUGCAGAGAGGAAAUAUGCAGAUCACAAUGAAGGACAAGCUGUGAAAUGCCUAGAUUCCAGAGCAACAGACUGUGAUCCAUUCCCAACAACCCCUCCCUACCGUCUGCCACCAGUUCCCUUAAAGCAGGAAUCAGAGCUAGACUGACUCAACUAAGAAUUGUUUUGGAGAACUUGGAACUCAACAUUCCAUAAAGGCAAGAAGCUUGACAUAGCAUCGAUGAGCCCAAGUCAACUAUAUGAACAAAACAAUGUCUCAGGAGGGGCAGGGUAUCACGUCAGAAGAAUCCUGAGUCCUUAGAUGACCUUGUAGAAAAGAGCCACAAACUUACUCUGGGCUACCUUCAUACCUCUGAACUAUUAUGCAGAGAGAAAUAAAUGUAUUCAAAUCACUGUUUUUUGGGUUUCUUCAUUCAUGUAGCUUAGCCUAUAACCUAAGUAA